GUAAUACUCCAUAGUUCGUUAUUACUGGAAUGUUUUUCGAACGAAAGAUCCGUCGCUUCAGGAUGAGUCUGCGGCCGAUUAGGUAGUUGUUGGGGUAAUUGCCCAACAAGCCUGUUAAUCGGUACGGGUUGUGGGAGCAAGAGCCCGGAGAUGGAUUCUGAGACACGAAUCCAGGCCCUACGGGGCGCAGCAGGCGCGAAAACUUUACCAUGCGGGCAACCGUGAUAAGGAAACCCCGAGUGCCAGCACAGGCUGGCUGUCCGCCAGUUUAAACAACUGGCGAAGAAAGGGCCGGGCAAGACCGGUGCCAGCCGCCGCGGUAAUACCGGCGGCUCGAGUGGUGGCCGCUAUUACUGGGCUUAAAGGGUCCGUAGCUUGAUAAUAGGGUCCCUUGAGAAAUCCGCCGGCUUAACUGGCGGGCGUUCAGGGGAAACUUGUUUUCUAGGGACCGGGAGAGGUGAGGGGUACUGCCGGGGUAGGAGUGAAAUCCUGUAAUCCCGGUGGGACCACCUAUGGCGAAGGCAUCUCACCAGAACGGGUCCGACAGUGAGGGACGAAAGCUGGGGGAGCAAACCGGAUUAGAUACCCGGGUAGUCCCAGCUGUAACUAUGUGCGUUAGGUGU
RNAcentral lists this ribosomal RNA (623 nucleotides) under uncultured archaeon. RNAcentral's name for it is "bacterial SSU rRNA". It matches the Rfam family "Archaeal small subunit ribosomal RNA", at positions 146 to 774 of the family's 1478-position model. The record is from RNAcentral.